GUGGGCGUGAAAAGAUUUUGGGCAUGAAGACCUUCUUCACGUGAAGCAAAAUAGGCGCAAGAAAUCUUGACUCCAAGAGACCCUUUUAUAUCCAAUACUUGGAUGCUAUAUCAAACGCCAAAAGCCACGUCCAACUUUUGGACGUCAAAACCAAAACGUGCAUGGGUUUAGGAGGAAUCCUUCUUAUAAUAAAAUUCCUCCUUGGCGUUAAAUC
This 214-nucleotide long non-coding RNA is filed under the name Elaeis guineensis (African oil palm). RNAcentral's name for it is "long non-coding RNA (EGUI_LNC046631)". The record is from RNAcentral. Lineage: Eukaryota; Viridiplantae; Streptophyta; Magnoliopsida; Arecales; Arecaceae.